RNAcentral lists this ribosomal RNA (292 nucleotides) under uncultured prokaryote. RNAcentral describes it as "partial 16S ribosomal RNA". It matches the Rfam family "Bacterial small subunit ribosomal RNA", at positions 505 to 796 of the family's 1533-position model. The record is from RNAcentral.
GUGUCAGCCGCCGCGGUAAUACGGAGGGCGCAAGCGUUAAUCGGAAUUACUGGGCGUAAAGCGCACGCAGGCGGUUUGUUAAGUCGGAUGUGAAAUCCCCGGGCUCAACCUGGGAACCGCAUUUGAAACUGGUUCACUAGAGUACUGUAGAGGGGGGUAGAAUUUCAGGUGUAGCGGUGAAAUGCGUAGAGAUCUGAAGGAAUACCGGUGGCGAAGGCGGCCCCCUGGACAGAUACUGACACUCAGAUGCGAAAGCGUGGGGAGCAAACAGGAUUAGAUACCCUCGUAGUCC